CCCGAGACUAGAGUCACAUCCUGACAGCUGUUGUCCUGGUGUGCUACAGUUCUCGGAGAGAAUCUGCUGGUCUUGAUUCACUGACGAGGGCAGUCAGUGCCCCCGGUUAGUGCCCAGAUCAGAAACAUGG
Pteronotus mesoamericanus is the source of this 130-nucleotide small nucleolar RNA. RefSeq annotates it as small nucleolar RNA SNORA3/SNORA45 family. The record is from RefSeq and is a predicted model, not a curated record. NCBI's taxonomy places the organism in Eukaryota, Metazoa, Chordata, Mammalia, Chiroptera, Mormoopidae. The transcript has a single exon.